UAUCAAUAUCUGUAUAACAUAUGUUCUCCAUCACAUGCCUUCUGUGUAAGGGUUAAGGACUCCACAGUCACGUAGAAAGGCUCACUUUUUCAAUAUGGCAUUCUGGCUCACUUACCAGCUUCAAAGGAGGUCAGUUUUCAAGUCAUAAUACAGCAAGAUAAAAUUAUGAAUAUGUAGAUAAAAGCCCAAUUUGAGCCUCAAACUUAAUAAUUUGUGUUCCUCGUAUUUUAUAAUGAGUGGCUGAAAAGCCUAAUGUCUCACACCAGAGAAAAUACUUUCAGUGGCUUUCUAUACCUUUCUACACCUCAAGGUGGUCUUUUCAUCAUCCAUCCCUGAGCUAAGGACCCUCAUAUUAACUGCUGACAGUUCUCUCCCAGAUUGAUGCAGUCAGGGUUGCUCAUCCCAAUUAUGCCCAGUUCAUGUCCUUUCCUCUUGGUCCAUGCACCAAAAAUACCUUUCUCUCAUCUCUCAUCUCUGUAAGUAUCUAUCCCACAUAGAAAUUGAUUAAUAUAUUCUAUAGCAUUAAAAUUAUAAAUUUGAAUUCGCAGCAGCAUUAGUUCUUGCUUUAUUUUUUUUUUUGGGGGGGGGGGAGUGUUUUAUUCUAUUCCAGAAAAUAUUCUUACUUUUUUGGUAUCAAGUGCACACUUCCUGACAGGGAUUGAGGUUCCCAUGGAUACAGAUUUCAGUAUAGUGGCAAGAUGAGUGGGAUGAGAUCUGAGACUUUUCCUGGUGAUAUUUACCAUUCUCCAGUGAAUUCAUUGCAGAAUUGCUAUCCUGUUGCAGGAUCAUCAUAGGUAAUUCUCUAGGUCAGCAAAGUAGACAUCAGAAUAUCAAGCUGAAUGAAAUCUGUACUUUGUUUUGUCAGCCAGUCUUUUGCCAAGACAGCCUGUCUAUUGCAUAUUUAGGAAUCAAAUAGUCAUUUUUCUGUUUGGAUAGUCAGAAAUAUUUGUUUGACUUGAUCAGAAGGUUUAGGGUCACCUAGUUAAAAGAUUAUAACUUGCAUAUAAUUUCAAAAAUUCUUUUUAAGUAAACUAGGAAAAUUUCUGCAAACUGAGAAAUUUAUAUUUCUAUAUCAUUUUCAUUUGUAUAUCACAUAUCAGGAAAUAACACUUAGAUGAAAACUCUAUACCAUUUUUGUCAUAACUCUUUCCAUGUUGUUACGAUAUCUUUAGUAUUAAUAUUUUGCAUGCUACUACCAAAUAAAAAAGCCAGGCUUAAUGACAGAAACAUCUACAUAUAAAGUAAAGUUUUCACUUUGGCCUAUUGGGUCUACUAGGAAAGAAAAUGUGGACUUUAUUAAAACCAGGUAUAUGUAACUACAGAUGUUUUAAUCAAGAUUGUAACACUAUCCUAGAUAUCUACAAGAGAGAAAAGAAGAGGAUUAAAAUUUUAAACAGUUUAUUUGCCAUUUUAAACUAAUUCACAUGAACAAGAAAUUUUUCUUUUAAAUCAAAUAAACAGUAGUUUACGACAGUCAUCAUUUUACAUGUGAGUUUCCCCCCCUACCAGCAUAGGAUCUAUUCCUAAACACUUCAAAAGAAGAAAAUUAAUACCAUUUGAGAGAACCAUUUUGAAAUGGAACCCAGCCUUACCAGGACCCUGUCUAUGGCAAUGGUUGUUUCUAGAGUUGGCAUUUAUGUAGAUCCCAGGAUGAGAUGUUUCAUGGCUGCAGGCUGGCUUGUGGCAUCCAAAAGUCCCCAUUGGUUUUUUGGGAACGAAUCACAAGGACUGCCUUUCAAAAUGAGUUUGACAAGUUGGAGAGAAAAAGCAGUAUAUACAGAGCAGUUCUAAAGGGAUGUAAGGAAGAAAGUGACAGAGGCAGGAGAAUGAGUAAGAAAAGUAGUUGCAGAAGCAGAUAACUUAUAGCCAAAAGGAGGAAAGGUUUUUGGUUCUAUGAAGAUUGGGCAGUCUCCUCCUGAGGAAUAUUUUAAGGAUAGAAAAUGGUACUUGUCUUUGGUGGUUUGGGUAAAGUCAUGUAAGUGGCAGGAGGAUGAACUAUAUAAUUUUGGGGAUGAUUUAGUGAUAUUGUUUGCAAGAUAAGAAAGGGAAAUUCUAGGCUGCUGAUGGGUGAUAUUCUUCCCAAUAUCAGAGCUCCUCAGGAUAAUCACACAUCAAUGAUUUUAAUAAAUAUUUGUUGAGCAACUAUGACCUUCCAGACACUGUUCUAGGUUCUUAGAAUACACCAGGUAACAAAACAAACAGUGGUCUUUACCCCAUGAACCAACUCUGUGUUAAAUACUAUUACCUUGUUUAAUUCUCUUACUAAUCCUAUAGGAUAAACAUUGUUAACUCCAUCUCACAUAUAAGGACACUGAUGUUUAAGCAGGAUAAGAAUCUUGUUUGAAUAUUUAUUUGCUUUAGAAUUUCUUUUGUUGCAAUCUAGAAUCUGAACUUUGGUCAUUAUACCAACCAGACUUCUUGAAAAAAGAGAUUGGGUUUUUUCAGUUUAAAAUGAAAUAAUGAAAUACACAUUUCAAAUGCCGCCUACUUCUUAUGUAAGAGCAAAUAGAUGGAAAGUUUAAAAAAUAUGUUAUCUAUCUGUAACUACAUCAUUUAAAGUAGAUAAAAGGCGGUCACAUAAGUAAUUAGGUGAAUAUUCUCACCUCUAAUAAUCUGAAUUAGAGUAUCAGAAGUAUGAUGAAUGAAUAUUUCAAUUAUAUGUGAUCUGAAAUAGGAUGAAAACCCUUGGCAAAUUACUUUUACUAUGAUAGAGGAGACUUCUAUGCAAAUGCCUGUUUCAAUCCAUCUUCAGCAUUGAUUGUUGAAAAACAUAUGUUGGUACCAUUUCUUUCCUAUUUCAUUGCUAAUGUGUGCUUGUGUGUUUAAAGUUAUGGAUCCAAGGGGAUCAUUGGCCAAGGACUAUUGAAAUAAGAUAGGGGUUCUUUGUAUUCUAAAAUGACCAAACUGUAGCAAAUGUAUGUUUCCUGUUUUAUGGAAGUCAUAAAUGUAUAUUGUGUGUAUGUGCCUGGCCUGCAGGUAAAUGUAGUUCUUUAACUCUAUGUGGUCCUGCUUCCUAUAGCCAACUGAAGGCUUGACUCUUCUUGUCCAUGUUACUAUUGGGACUUAAAUGACUUUCUGAUCUUUCUUAAAGUGGAGCCACAGGUCUUUUUUUCAAACUGAGAAUGUGUUUACUUGGGGUCUUUGCUAUUGGAUACCUGGCUCUCAUGAUGGUUCCUAUACCCAUCUGUAAGAAAAAGAAGCUCUCAGGAAGGAAUUUCUAUUUGAAAAAAAUGCUCAGAUUUCUAACGAUCAUCUCUAACUUUCUCUUCAAUGGAGAACAUUUACAAAAGCCACUCAAAGGGUAGUAGCAGAGCAGUCUCCAUGUUUUCCUUUCACAUGGGAUAUUUUCUACUUCUAAAGUUUUCUUUCCUUUGCAUUUUCAAGAAGAAUGUUUAUGUUUAAUUCUUUUUUUUUUAUCUUGAAGGUUAUGUAGAAUCUCUUGAAACAUUUUGAAGUCCCCUUUCAAAAAUUACAUCAAUAGUUCUAAGACCAUAGGUAACUUUUCUUGCAAUUCAGACAGCCAUGUUUUACACAGUGCCAAACCAACCCUCAGCAGUCCCUUUGGUCAGUUUGUCAUCUUUGUGAAUUAUCUGAAUCUCUCUGUGGUAGUCACCAAGAGUCUAGCUUAGACAGGCAGAUUUUCUUAACCUAGGCUUCUAACAUCAAGUUUGGACUGGGGUGUUUGUUAAUAAAGCAAAGGGAGCAAGUCUGAGAUGUUAGUCCAUGCUCUCUUAAACAGAACUUUCCUUCUUCCUGAGGAUUUAAACAUAAAAUUGAUUUUAAAAAUACUGAUAUAGUGUUCCAUUGCUUGUCAAAUCUUUUGCCAUUAUAACUCUGUGUUUUUCUGUGUUGAUAUUCAUUGUGUCCAUGGGGAUAUAAAUAUGAGAAUUUCAUCAACUGUCUUGCAAGGUUAAGCUGUGCUUCUUACUAGUUUUGAAAUUUUUCCUUGUAUAGUACAAUCCCUCCGAAGAUAAUUACAUUGGACCUAAAUGACAGCAUAAUGGUUUUUCUUCCAUAUCUGUUACUAACAAUUCCCUGAAAACAGAGCUAGACAAAUGCUAUGCCCAAUUUAUUUUUUUAAAGAUUUUAUUUAUUUAUUCAUGAGAGACACAGAGAGAGACAGAGGCAGAGGGAGAAGCAAGCUCCUAAAGGGCAGCCAAAUGUGGGACUCGAUCCCAGGACUGGACCAUGCCCUGAGCCAAAAGCAGAUGCUCAACCACUGAGCCACCCAAUCUAUGGCCAAUUUAAUACCUAACAGUUGAGACUUAAAAUUUUCUUCAGGAAGCUGGUAAUUAAAUAUGAAUUAAAACUUCAUGAAAGACUUCCAGGUGCCCCUGCCUUCAUUUUGAUUAUAUUUUAGUUGGAUGGUGACUUGGGAAAGAAAAAUCUCUUACUUUACCUUAUACUUUCACAAGCAACAGCUUUGACAAUUUAAAUUUGGUGACAUUUCUGAAGGUAGCGUGCACGUUAUAAUUAAAGAUGAAGGGCAGAGUUAGAUGAAGAUAGUCUGGAGUGAAAUAAAAGUAAGCAAUAAUAAUAAUCAUGCUUAUUGUAGCAAUAUCUUGAAAGCUUAAGUUUAGUGGCAUUUGAGAUGUUUCAAACCAUCCAGCUUAUACAUCUUACCCUGCUGUUCAGAAGGCAGUGAGGUUGAGUGAACCACUCACUAUAGUAAUGGCCAAUUUGAAGCAGUAUUAUGGUUUGGAUAUAAAGAAACUUCGGCAAAAGCACUUGUGGAUCUUUCAGAUCCAUAUUUAUCCUUAAAGUCAGUUUCACCAAUCAAUAAAAAUGAAUUAUUUAUCCAAGAAUAGAUAAAGCUCUUUAAUGUCCUCAUGACAUCGACAUAGAAGCCCAAAUACUCCUUGUUUGAGAUUCUGCAUGCUUUUUGUGCUUUACUGAAUCAAUGAAAUUUUUCUUUCAUUUUGCUCUCAAUUGAAUAAUUUCACACACAUAACCUUGGGUUUGUUUUGAAGUUAUGUAGAAUUAUUUGAAAUGGUAUUUUAAUUUCAACUCAUGUCACUGUAUAGUUUAUUAGUAAUUUGCUCAACUGAUAAUUAAGUCAUGUUUGUUAAAGCAAUAAAAAUUCAUUAUGCAUUUGGCAU
RNAcentral lists this long non-coding RNA (5099 nucleotides) under Canis lupus familiaris (dog). Its description in RNAcentral is "lncRNA (ENSCAFG00845000886.1)". Lineage: Eukaryota; Metazoa; Chordata; Mammalia; Carnivora; Canidae. The record is from RNAcentral.